UGGUAUGAGGGCCUUGUUGUGGGUCAAUACCUCCCAUACAUGUUCAGUCAGCCAAUACAUACACCUGAAUUGAAGAGUUUUCUCAACAAAAUACACAAUUAUGUCUCUCUUGGAUCCACAGGUAGUUUCUAGAUCAAAUCCUCCCGUUAAUUAUGAAAUUUGUUGUAUUCAAAUUCAUGUAACCCCUAAUUAGGCCUCUAAUUUAUGUAUAUUCCACGUAUGACGUUUUAUCUUUUUGGCUUCCCUGAUUUUUUUCUAACAGUGUGUUAGACCACCCAAGUUACGCUUUCAAACUGCAUGCGUCUGUCAAUGCUAUUCAUACAGUCCUGUUGGGAAAAGUGAUCCUUAACCAUUUUGUUCUAUUUUCUUUUCAUUAACAGAUAAAAGAAACAUUUUUCCAUAUUUAAAACUUGGAUAAAAUGGGGAGAUGGAGGAGAUUUCGACAGUUAAGCUUGUAGAGGUUUUCUAUCAAUCUUCUGUAUCCAGACUCAUCUGAAGUGAUGAUACCAUUCGAUGAUACAAAAUACACAGGCAUUAUACCAUAUGGAUACCCAUAUACCGUAUUAUCUCUGGUGCCCAAAAACUUGUUUGGCAUAGAAAUGGCAGACCCAACAAACUACCCUGUGAUAUCAGGUAACUUUGACAGUCUGCAGGGUGGUGAUAUGCGAGCUGCCAUAGAGGAGAUAUUAAUAAAAUCUUCAUAACUUGGUUUUCCUGAGGAAACAGAGGCGUGCUUCUACCAGAUUAUCACCGUUCUACGGUGCAUAACUGACCUCCUCUUUUUCCCCAAACCAUUGGGAAUGGCAUUCACAAAACAGCUGUCAUUCCAUUGCCCCAUAAAACAGUUAGCAGAGAAAUUCGACCCUAUCACCAAGAUCACUAGUAAAUCCAUUUAUCAUACAGCCAAAAAACAUGUUUCUUUACGUCUAUGUAUGACCUUUCUCAGAUAUUCUAUACUUCCUGUGGCUUAAAACAUUGCUGUUACACAUUGGAGAAGGGAAAUUUGUAGCCAAAAGUGAAAAGUGAAGAAACACUUGAGAUUCAACACUGGCAACACCUCAAUAUACAUGAACAAGACCUUGCUUUUCAACAACCUCAGAAAAUUGUAUUCAAAGAUGAUGAGGAAUAUUCCAUAAAUUUAAAUUGCAUAAAUUUCAUGACUAUUAUAAAAUAUGUAAAAGAAGAGACAUAUAUUUUAGGUACCAUUUGUCUUAUAAUGUUAGCUAAUGUAGGUGGGAAAGAAGUUACAUCCAUAUUAAAUUUGACUGCAAAGAUUGAAAAAUAAA
Molecule: long non-coding RNA, 1286 nt
Organism: Saccostrea echinata
Lineage: Eukaryota; Metazoa; Mollusca; Bivalvia; Ostreida; Ostreidae
Exons: 4
Source: RefSeq, a predicted model, not a curated record